UACGUAGGGUGCGAGCGUUAAUCGGAAUUACUGGGCGUAAAGCGUGCGCAGGCGGUUCGUUGUGUCGGCGGUGAAAGCCCCGGGCUUAACCUGGGAACGGCCGUUGAAGCUGGCGAACUGGAGUGUGGCAGAGGGGGGUGGAAUUCCGCGUGUAGCAGUGAAAUGCGUAGAGAUGCGGAGGAACACCGAUGGCGAAGGCAGCCCCCUGGGCUAACACUGACGCUCAGGCACGAAAGCGUGGGGAGCAAACAGG
This 253-nucleotide ribosomal RNA is filed under the name uncultured bacterium. RNAcentral describes it as "partial 16S ribosomal RNA". It matches the Rfam family "Bacterial small subunit ribosomal RNA", at positions 524 to 776 of the family's 1533-position model. The record is from RNAcentral.